GUGGGGAAUAUUGGGCAAUGGGCGAAAGCCUGACCCAGCAACGCCGCGUGAAGGAAGAAGGUCUUCGGAUCGUAAACUUCUAUCCUUGGUGAAGAUAAUGACGGUAGCCGAGAAGGAAGCCCCGGCUAACUACGUGCCAGCAGCCUCGGUAAUACGUAGGGGGCAAGCGUUGUCCGGAAUGAUUGGGCGUAAAGGGCGCGUAGGCGGCCUGGUAAGUCUGGAGUGAAAGUCCUGCUUUUAAGGUGGGAAUUGCUUUGGAUACUGUCGGGCUUGAGUGCAGGAGAGGUAAGUGGAAUUCCCGGUGUAGCGGUGAAAUGCGUAGAGAUCGGGAGGAACACCAGUGGCGAAGGCGAUUCUCUGGUCUGUCUCUGACGCUGAGGAGCGAAAGCGUGGGUAGCGAACGGGAUUAGAAACCCGUGUAGUCC
RNAcentral lists this ribosomal RNA (425 nucleotides) under uncultured bacterium. RNAcentral describes it as "partial 16S ribosomal RNA". It matches the Rfam family "Bacterial small subunit ribosomal RNA", at positions 354 to 796 of the family's 1533-position model. The record is from RNAcentral.